UUUCCGUAGGUGAACCUGCGGAAGGAUCAUUAUUAUAUAACCGACUUUCGACGUCUGUAGCUGAUACGAUAGGGCGUGCACGCACAAGUGCCCACACUCACAUCCUUCUCACCCCUAUGUGCACCACCGCGGGGGUACCCCUUUGGUUUGCUCGGAGGGGGGCUCACGUUUUCACACAAACUUUGCAUACAGUGUAUAAUGUAAUUUUUGUUUUUGCGUUUACGCAAUCUAUAAAACUAUCUACAACGAAUCUCUUUGCUCUCUCAUCGAUGAAGAAAG
Molecule: unclassified non-coding RNA, 279 nt
Filed under: plant metagenome
Description: partial contains small subunit ribosomal RNA, internal transcribed spacer 1, and 5.8S ribosomal RNA
Source: RNAcentral